UUUGUUCAAACCGCGCGAGAUGGACGACUGGUGUCUAAGUUUAUGAAUAUGAAAAAAAUUCAAUAAAAUACAAGGGAACCAUGUCUGUGACCUGCCAGCACACCAUGCGUGUGCCAUUCCCAUUGUCACACAUACAAAUAGCCUGCAAUGGUGUCUACUUGGCACUGCCGUUUGUAAGGACUUCCAUUGGAGUGUGGAGUCUGGACAAAUUAUUCUGCAAGCCUUUGGAACUUGAAGGCCAUAGGCAUAA
Lingula anatina is the source of this 250-nucleotide long non-coding RNA. Lineage: Eukaryota; Metazoa; Brachiopoda; Lingulata; Lingulida; Lingulidae. The record is from RefSeq and is a predicted model, not a curated record.